RNAcentral lists this long non-coding RNA (268 nucleotides) under Elaeis guineensis (African oil palm). RNAcentral describes it as "long non-coding RNA (EGUI_LNC013310)". The record is from RNAcentral. Lineage: Eukaryota; Viridiplantae; Streptophyta; Magnoliopsida; Arecales; Arecaceae.
CUACCAUGGACUUUACCACCUCCAACAUUGAGGUCACUACCUCCACCAGCCGCCCCAACAUUUGGUCUAUCCUCCUCUUCCUCUUUAGUAUUGAAUUCAUCCACCCAUAUAGCCAUCCCAAGUUUAUAGAGCUGCCACCUUCCUCUUCCUCUACCAUCACUUCACCAUCGAGGCUGACAUCAUAUAGCCAAGAUAAGUCUAAAAAUCUCGAAAGAAAAUCUAUAGAGAGCUUGCCAGAAGAGGCUUUAGAGAUGACUUAAGAGAAAGC